Long non-coding RNA from Astatotilapia calliptera (eastern happy), 1260 nucleotides. NCBI's taxonomy places the organism in Eukaryota, Metazoa, Chordata, Actinopteri, Cichliformes, Cichlidae. The record is from Ensembl.
CUUCCAUUUCCCUUAAAUAGGACACUAGAAGUAAGAUGUGUUUUAUACAUGUAGGACCAUGUACAUGGAAAAUGUUGCCUUAAAAAGGAGGAUACUAGAUCCAAGCAGGAGGUAAUUACACUUGUUGGAGACUUCUUUUAGUACAGAAAAUGACCUUAUUGCCACUUAAUCAGUAACCCCCUAGAAAAUACUUUGUCGUAUUGCCCUCUGUGACUCAGUUCCACCCAUUGCUCUAAUUCAUUUUUAAAACACCAAGAUAGCCCAGAUGUUCACCUUGAAUCCUGAAGAAGGGACUUCACUAAUGGUUGAUACCACUUUGGCUUUAUUACAGCUAAUGGUUGGUUUUCUCUUUUAUUUGGAUUUUAUAUCGGUGGACCGCAUUUAGAGCGUAGUUAUUUCAGACCCACUCUAAAUAAUAUCCUUCACAGUCAAACAUAUUUCUUCAUCCAACCAACAAGCAAGCUCAGAAUCUGGAUUUAAAGAGACUAAAGGCUAAAAGUUCAUCCGUGCUUUCCAGUUGUUUUCUAGGUUAUAGGUGGUAAUGUUUCAAGGACAAUUUCCUGUCUCUGUAUUCCUUUUUUUUUUUUUUUUAAAGAAAAUUUGUUCUUGCAUUCCAUUUCUUCUGGUCUACGAGUGAAAUUGACCUCUUAUAUGUCUGACCAACUGUCAAGCCUGCAAAAAAAUUCAGUCAGUGCGUCUAAGAGGGAAUCCAUUAAAAGCGAGGCAUUAGCAGAGAGCAUGCUCUUCUGAUCAGGUCAGUCUGCCCUGAUUCAGACCAUGUUUUGCUUUUCUAUCCACAGAAACAGCAGAAAGGAGCCAAAUGGCAAAACUGGUUAAAAAAUAGUUUCCAUGUUGGCCCAGAAGGAAUCACAAAUGCUUCACAUAUUGAUUCACUGAAUUUAUAAAUUUCUCCAACUAGCUACAAGCAAAAAUCAAACAUUUUAUAAUUCAAACCAAGCUCAUAUUAUUGGGGUGUGAAGAGCUUUCUGGGAAGAUUGGACCAGUGAGAAAGGAAUAUGCAUGCAUUGACGCAUUUGACUGUUUUCCAUGUUUACUCUCUGAAAUACACCAACUCUCUAAAUGCUUACGCAUUGCGCUUAAAGCUGUAGAAGUAGUCUGCAAAAAACAAAAAUAAAUGUAAACAAUGAAAAAAGAUGAAACUGGGCAGAAGUGGGAGCAUUUGAUAUGACAGAGGAAGCCAGUGGCCAAACAGACAGAACAGCAACAGCUACAAAGACAGAGUCACUGCUAACGUGGCAG